This 243-nucleotide ribosomal RNA is filed under the name uncultured bacterium. RNAcentral's name for it is "partial 16S ribosomal RNA". It matches the Rfam family "Bacterial small subunit ribosomal RNA", at positions 57 to 305 of the family's 1533-position model. The record is from RNAcentral.
GCAAGUCGAGCGAGAAAGGUCUUCGGACUGAGUACAGCGGCGGACGGGUGAGUAACGCGUAGGAAUCUACCUGGUAGUGGGGGACAACUUGUGGAAACGCAAGCUAAUACCGCAUACGCCCUAAGGGGGAAAGCGGGGGAUCUUCGGACCUCGCGCUAUUGGAUGAGCCUGCGUCGGAUUAGCUUGUUGGUGAGGUAAAAGCUCACCAAGGCUACGAUCCGUAGCUGGUCUGAGAGGACGAUC